AUAGAGCUAAAAUUCACCAUCUAAGCACUAAGACUUUACAGUUAAAACUUAAAGGACAUGGCGACGGUAUUUACUCAGGGGAACUUACCAGGUAAAUGAUAACCCACAAGGAACCGUGCUAAUUUUUAAAGUAUGUAUACCGCCGUCAUGAACUUACCUUAGGUAAGUUCAAAUAGUUAAUGUAACUAAAGGACAGGUCAUGGUGCAGCCCAUAAAUUAGUCUCAGGCGAGUUACACUAUUUCCUUUUUAUUCGUUACCUAUUUCAAAUGAAAUAGGAGAAGCCGGACUUGAAAGUAAAUAGGAAAAGAAAUACUUAUUGAAUAACCUUUUACCGUGC
This 338-nucleotide ribosomal RNA is filed under the name Siphonaria sp. BMNH 20080069. RNAcentral describes it as "partial 12S ribosomal RNA". The record is from RNAcentral. RNAcentral also lists the same sequence under 4 other names. Lineage: Eukaryota; Metazoa; Mollusca; Gastropoda; Siphonariida; Siphonariidae.